RNAcentral lists this ribosomal RNA (570 nucleotides) under Vishniacozyma victoriae. RNAcentral's name for it is "partial large subunit ribosomal RNA". It matches the Rfam family "Eukaryotic large subunit ribosomal RNA", at positions 94 to 653 of the family's 3401-position model. The record is from RNAcentral. Lineage: Eukaryota; Fungi; Basidiomycota; Tremellomycetes; Tremellales; Bulleribasidiaceae.
UGAACCGGGAUGAAGCUCAAAUUUAAAAUCUGGCGUCUUUCAGGCGUCCGAGUUGUAAUCUAUAGAGGCGUUUUCCGCGCCGGACCGCGUCCAAGUCUCUUGGAAUAGAGUAUCAAAGAGGGUGACAAUCCCGUACUUGACGCGACAACCGGUGCUCUGUGAUACGUUCUCAAUGAGUCGAGUUGUUUGGGAAUGCAGCUCUAAAUGGGUGGUAAAUUCCAUCUAAGGCUAAAUAUUGGCGAGAGACCGAUAGCGAACAAGUACCGUGAGGGAAAGAUGAAAAGCACUUUGGAAAGAGAGUUAAACAGCACGUGAAAUUGUUAAAAGGGAAACGAUUGAAGUCAGUCGUGUGAAAGGUAUUCAGCCGUCUCUGGCGGUGUAUUUGCCUUUCACGGGUCAACAUCAGUUUGAUCCGGUAGAAAAAGGCGGGAGGAAGGUGGCACCCUCGGGUGUGUUAUAGCCUCCUGUCAUAUGUGCCGGACCAGACUGAGGAACGCAGCUUGCCGCAAGGCCGGGGUUCGCCCACGUACAAGCUUAGGAUGUUGACAUAAUGGCUUUAAACGACCCGUC